AUCAAACUGUCAUCAAUUCUCUUCUUUUUUACUUUUUUUUUUGCUAGCCAGGUUUUCAUUUCAUACUACAAUAAAUAACAGAGAAAAAACAGGAUCGACUAUAGGUUGAAACCGAGUAUUGAUAUUUUUUGGUUUCUUUUGCGAUUAUUCUCUCAACUUCUGAAAAACCAUAGUUAACCCGCUUCUCCGCUUGGAAUGUGUAGAUUUAAAUUGGUAUCAAUCAUUUUCGAUUAACUGCAUGAGCGAUUAUUGAAAUGGCACCGCCAGACUCGCACACACCCAGUCAUGUAGCGCAAGAAACAUCCAAAGAGGAAAAAAGAGCA
RNAcentral lists this small RNA (323 nucleotides) under Histoplasma capsulatum var. duboisii H88. Its description in RNAcentral is "Histoplasma capsulatum H88 hypothetical RNA". Lineage: Eukaryota; Fungi; Ascomycota; Eurotiomycetes; Onygenales; Ajellomycetaceae. The record is from RNAcentral.